This 253-nucleotide ribosomal RNA is filed under the name uncultured bacterium. RNAcentral's name for it is "partial 16S ribosomal RNA". It matches the Rfam family "Bacterial small subunit ribosomal RNA", at positions 524 to 776 of the family's 1533-position model. The record is from RNAcentral.
GACAGAGGGUGCAAACGUUGCUCGGAAUCACUGGGCGUAAAGGGCGUGUAGGCGGGCAGGCAAGUCAGAUGUGAAAUCCCCAGGCUCAACCUGGGAACUGCAUUUGAAACUCCCUUUCUUGAGUACCGGAGAGGAAAGUGGAAUUCCUGGUGUAGAGGUGAAAUUCGUAGAUAUCAGGAGGAACACCAGUGGCGAAGGCGGCUUUCUGGACGGUAACUGACGCUGAGACGCGAAAGCAUGGGGAGCAAACAGG